GCCCUAUAGCUCACUGGAUAGAGCUCGGACUUUUAAUCCGCAGGUCGUAGGUUCGAGCCCUACUGGGGGCA
Molecule: transfer RNA, 71 nt
Filed under: Rhodococcus (subgen. Prescottella) equi
Lineage: Bacteria; Bacillati; Actinomycetota; Actinomycetes; Mycobacteriales; Nocardiaceae
Description: Rhodococcus hoagii tRNA-Lys
Rfam family: tRNA
About the family: Transfer RNA (tRNA) molecules are approximately 80 nucleotides in length. Their secondary structure includes four short double-helical elements and three loops (D, anti-codon, and T loops).
Source: RNAcentral